CUUGGUCACCAGUGAGCCCAAGCCCAAGUACAUGUACAAGUACAAGUACUCAAAAUAAUCCAAACGUCAUUGCUACGUGAAAAAUCACGUAACAUCAAAAAAUGGUUCAUUUGCUUCAUUUUACCUGACGCAGAUAACCCUUACCAAGGCAAUCAUAAACAUCAAAUGAUGUGCCUGUUACCAUAACGAAAUUGCCCAAUAUUCCUUAAAUGAAAGUCACAUACCCAGUCCAGUUCAUUUCCAUAACUUCAUUUUGCAUUCACUCAAUGCCGCACUGAACUAGCUUUCAAAAUAUCAAGAUGGCGGAAUUGUAAACAAAUAGCAGUAUUCUUAAUUUGGUUUUUUUUUUUAGCAUUUUCAUCACAUUAUGAAUAAUUUUCGGGUGCCGUCAUCAAGCUGUCAUGCCAUCGAAGAAAUAACCUCCCCCGGAAGGACUUAUCAAGAUAUGGAGAAGUUAUACUCAACUAAAAUUUGAGCUGAGGAGCGCCUAAUUUCACAUUAUCAAUUUUCAUUCAACUGAACGGGAGUGAAUUUUAAGCAAACCCAUUAAAGUGUGUGAAAUUCUACAUAUGAUUUUAAAUAAACGAAUCUCCUUUCAUGAUUACGUCCAGGAAUACGUUUGCAUUGCUGUACUUUCGUAUACUUUCAAUCCGGUCGAUCCGGCCACGAUACUGCUGCCAAGCAAUAUAGCACUUGCUGGCUUUGUUUAGUGUGCUCAACAGGAACAGACCCAUUUGAUUUUGCUGGGAAACGGUGCGUUUCCCUGCAAAAUCAGUUGGAUCUAUUGGGUACAGUGAACAAAGCCAGCAAUUGCGCUAUCUUGGAAUGCAGUGUUUCCUACAUAUUUCAUUAUUAACAAUAAUAGGACGCUAUGUAAAAACUACAGGCGUGCUCUGUAACAGGUACAGAAAAAGUCCGUAGUUGUUACGUGGAAAAUCACGUAGAUAUUACGAGAAAGGUCAAUGGAAUGAUUGUUCAUGGAUGAAUACUGAGUUCAUCUCUUGCCACUUGUGUUUCACGUAGGUACUACGUGAAAAGUGCGAUGGAAAAAAAUCACGUAUGUUUUCACGUAACAAUGACGUUUGGAUUGUUUUCAGUG
This is a long non-coding RNA of Aedes albopictus (Asian tiger mosquito), 1099 nucleotides long. RefSeq lists it as uncharacterized. The record is from RefSeq and is a predicted model, not a curated record. NCBI's taxonomy places the organism in Eukaryota, Metazoa, Arthropoda, Insecta, Diptera, Culicidae. The transcript has 2 exons.